This is a long non-coding RNA of Nicotiana attenuata, 1330 nucleotides long. RefSeq lists it as uncharacterized. The transcript has 2 exons. The record is from RefSeq and is a predicted model, not a curated record. Lineage: Eukaryota; Viridiplantae; Streptophyta; Magnoliopsida; Solanales; Solanaceae.
UCGUCAAUGUGACAAAAAACCAAUUCUUCUCCUUUAGGACAGAUUAGCGUAGCAUAUUAAAUUGCCGUUAAGUUAAGACAUGCAUGAUUUCUUCUUCCUUUUGCAUGUAAAUAUCAAAUGCAACGACUUUACCAUCUGAUUCUCAUAAACAACCUUCCACCUUUAGCGCUCUUCUUGAUUUCUCUUCUGCAUUACAUCCAGUUAUUUUUUCUUGCAUCUCAACCCAAAAGACGGCAACAAAAAAAUAUAUACUCAAAGAACGAGAUCGUGUUUUCAUAAAUUCCAUCGGAGAAGAAGGAGGGGGAGGAAAAAUCUGAAUCAACAUAAAAGAGAAGGAAAAAAUUGGAAGAAGAAAAGAGGUGUUUGUAGAGACAAAAAGGAGUAAUCUUUAUACAUUGGUAGAAUUGGGUAAAGUUCUUUUAUGCACUUCUCACAAAUCCGAAUGAUUAUCCUUGCUCAUUCCCUAAAUAUCAUCAGAUACUGUUAAUUUUCCCGCUAUUAGUAUAAUGGUCACCUGUAACCCGCGCCUCUCGUUCUAGAUGCUAAUUCCUUUGACAUAACUGCGAAAGGCGAAUUGAAGAAGAAGAACAAUAAUGAAUGAGAGGGAGGGGGAUCUGAGGGUUCCUCUAAUCUCUUUCAUGUUAUGUAUUUGUGUACUUAUUGGUGGGAUUUUCCUUUUUCUUUACCUCUUUGUGCCAAAUUUAUCUCAACCUUGGUUUCCUGCAAUAGCUCUAAUCUUGAUUGGAUUUCCAUGGCUACUUUGGCUCUUUACUUACAUGUAUACAUGCAUAAAAAGAUGUUGUGGCUUUAGCAGCACCGAUAAUCGCCAGGUUUCUAGAAGGGCAUCCAGGGCGCCCACAAUGGCAAAUUCUGGUAUGGCCAGAAAUGUUUCAUUGGCAAAUUCUCAGCACAAUAAUAGUGAUGGAAAAAGUGUACAAUUUGGUGCUGCAUCUAUUAACUCCUCUCAUGGAAGCAAAGAUGGUGGUGCAUCAAUCAGCUCUUCACAAGAAAUUGAGAUGCCUUUAACAUCAUCAGCUCCUUCUUGAUGAAAUGUAUAUCGGGAUAAAUGAGUAUAUACAAUGGGUUCAAUAUCAGCUGGAAUUAAACGUGAAAGAGAUUGGAUUCUGAAGAUGAUUCCAACAACGACAUCAGGAGCUUUGCAGAUGAUAUACUUGUAAGUAGAAUAGCACAAACAGAUUUGUUUGUCUUAGUGUAUGUAAAGAUUUAAUAUAAAUUUAGCUUUGUUCUUAUGUAAUUUUCUCUUCUAUCUCCUCCCAUCCUCUGCUUCUUCUUUUUUCCCUCUUGAAAUGAAAUCAGGAAUAUGCUUUCA